CGUAGGGUGCGAGCGUUAAUCGGAAUUACUGGGCGUAAAGCGUGCGCAGGCGGUUUUGUAAGACAGAUGUGAAAUCCCCGGGCUCAACCUGGGACCUGCAUUUGUGACUGCAAGGCUAGAGUACGGUAGAGGGGGAUGGAAUUCCGCGUGUAGCAGUGAAAUGCGUAGAUAUGCGGAGGAACACCGAUGGCGAAGGCAAUCCCCUGGACCUGUACUGACGCUCAUGCACGAAGGCGUGGGGAGCAAACAGGAUUAGAUACCCUGGUAGUCCACGCCCUAAACGAUGUCAACUGGUUGUUGGGUCUUUACUGACUCAGUAACGAAGCUAACGCGUGAAGUUGACCGCCUGGGGAGUACGGCCGCAAGGUUG
RNAcentral lists this ribosomal RNA (370 nucleotides) under uncultured organism. RNAcentral's name for it is "bacterial SSU rRNA". It matches the Rfam family "Bacterial small subunit ribosomal RNA", at positions 526 to 896 of the family's 1533-position model. The record is from RNAcentral.